CAAACGACUCUCGGCAACGGAUAUCUCGGCUCUCACAGUCACAGAAAAAU
This 50-nucleotide ribosomal RNA is filed under the name Lonicera japonica. Its description in RNAcentral is "partial 5.8S ribosomal RNA". The record is from RNAcentral. Lineage: Eukaryota; Viridiplantae; Streptophyta; Magnoliopsida; Dipsacales; Caprifoliaceae.